CAUAGACAGGUACAAUGUCUACCAGCAACAAGGGUGGUAGCAGCGGUGACAACGGACAACAAAACCGGCAACAACAUUGCAGUAUCCUGCAUAGAUAGGUUUUUAUUACUGCAAAAUUGAUCCCGGCAGCGCUACCGGUAGUUGCGGUAGAUAGGAUUGUACAUGCAGGUCUCUGCAUAUUGCACCAGGUCUCUGGGCGCAGGCAGACGGGUCGCCAAACCUGCAGAGGAAAGUUUGAGACUUUGGAGGCGAAUGGAAAGAUUUGGAGGUCUACUCAGGGAAACGGAAGCAGAACAGAAAACUUUGGAAAUGUAUCUACAGAAGGAAAGGAGGGUGAAGCGUACCGAGCUCAUAGGCUUUUGCAGCCACGGCGGCAGCAAUGUGAGCGGAGAUCUUUCUGAUGCUGCUGAAGGGCGGGAAGAUCGAUCCCUUCUCAAAGUUCUCCUGAUUGGCCUGAUCAGCUAGUGCUUCCGCUGUUUAAAUGAUUACAGCCAUGAGAUUGCUUCACAUCAAACCCUCCCUAGUUUCCCAUUUGGAUACAUAAUUAACAUUUACAUAUGUUCAUUGACUCCAUUAAGAAGGUACUUACAGGCAGCAAGAAGCAUGUCCUCAUGGACACGGGUGGCUCCAGCCAUAAUCAGACCAAGGCCAAGGCCAGGGAAAAUGUAAGCAUUGUUUGCCUGUCAUGA
Molecule: long non-coding RNA, 689 nt
Filed under: Setaria viridis
Lineage: Eukaryota; Viridiplantae; Streptophyta; Magnoliopsida; Poales; Poaceae
Description: long non-coding RNA (SVIR_LNC005296)
Source: RNAcentral